Molecule: ribosomal RNA, 458 nt
Filed under: Streptococcus sp. oral taxon 070
Lineage: Bacteria; Bacillati; Bacillota; Bacilli; Lactobacillales; Streptococcaceae
Description: bacterial SSU rRNA
Rfam family: Bacterial small subunit ribosomal RNA
Source: RNAcentral
GACGAACGCUGGCGGCGUGCCUAAUACAUGCAAGUAGAACGCUGAAGCUUGGUGCUUGCACCGAGCGGAUGAGUUGCGAACGGGUGAGUAACGCGUAGGUAACCUGCCUGGUAGCGGGGGAUAACUAUUGGAAACGAUAGCUAAUACCGCAUGAUAUUGAUUAUUGCAUGAUAGUCAAUUAAAAGGUGCAAUUGCAUCACUACCAGAUGGACCUGCGUUGUAUUAGCUAGUUGGUGAGGUAACGGCUCACCAAGGCAACGAUACAUAGCCGACCUGAGAGGGUGAUCGGCCACACUGGGACUGAGACACGGCCCAGACUCCACGGGAGGCAGCAGUAGGGAAUCUUCGGCAAUGGACGGAAGUCUGACCGAGCAACGCCGCGUGAGUGAAGAAGGUUUUCGGAUCGUAAAGCUCUGUUGUAAGAGAAGAACGAGUGUGAGAGUGGAAAGUUCACACUG